GACGAAGGGGGCUAGCGUUGUUCGGAAUUACUGGGCGUAAAGCGUGCGUAGGUGGUGAGUUAAGUCUGUCGUGAAAGCCCCGGGCUCAACCUGGGAAUGGCGAUGGAUACUGGCUCGCUAGAGUGCGGUAGAGGAGAGUGGAAUUCCCGGUGUAGCAGUGAAAUGCGUAGAGAUCGGGAGGAACAUCAGUUGCGAAGGCGGCUCUCUGGACCAGCACUGACACUGAGGCACGAAAGCGUGGGGAGCAAACAGG
This 253-nucleotide ribosomal RNA is filed under the name uncultured bacterium. Its description in RNAcentral is "partial 16S ribosomal RNA". It matches the Rfam family "Bacterial small subunit ribosomal RNA", at positions 524 to 776 of the family's 1533-position model. The record is from RNAcentral.